CCCUCUGGGGCCAGGGUCGGGUGAUUGGGAGGAGCUGCGAGGUACCGGGCCCUUGGAUUAGUUGCCGUUGAAGGAGCCUCCGCCAAUGAAAUCUUCUCUGCGCUCUGAUUUGGCGGUUCUUCUGUGCAAAUAUGACAGCUUUCUCUCUCAGCUCUUUCCUGCAUCUCUCCAUGUCCGUCCCCAGAGCCCAGCUCUUCAUCUGCAAUUUCUACACCACAACCUUUGCAACCACCACCACCACCACCACCACCACCACCACCACCACCACCACCACCACCACCAUGACCACCCCUAGUUCCCAUGCCAGCAAGUGCCGGGUUGCUACAAAGGUGACAGGGCACAUUGGGAAGAAGGCUUGUUGCUUGCAGAAGACACUAAGACCUGUGUUUCCAGAGCUAUGAAGCGCAAGUGAGCGGGUCUAAGACUGUCAGAGGGAUUCUCCAGAAAAAGUGUACUCCAGAAGCUUGCCACAAACUGGAUUUAAGGUACUGGUAAUGAAUUCAACAAAAUGUUGAAUGACAGGCAAUAUUUUCUUACCUAUCAAUGAUAGGAAGCUACCAAGAAUUUUUAGAUCUAACUGAAGAGAAAAAAGAAACCUCUUCUACUUUAGAACCACAGAUAAAAUAUCCGAUGCUACAAAUGGAGGUUUCAGAAAGAGGCCAUGCUACUUGUACAUCAGGAAGCUGAUUCUAGGGGUGAUGUCUAGCUGGCCGAUACUGUACAAAUAAUGUGGAAGCUUGAAAUAAGUAUGAUCUUAUGGACAAUGAAGGUUGUUUAAAUAUUCAAAUUAGUGAAGGAGCCAAAGUUAGAGACAUUGUCAGUGGCCACAAAGGAAGAUCUCAAGCCCUUGUUUUAUAGCAGUCAGAAAGGACAAGUAAAACACCAGUCAUUGAGUACCAUGGUCUAAUCUCUAUGACUUAGUGAAUAAAUCAAGGAUAGGAUAGACAUUCUCUACCCAAGGCACUAUUUUUAGGGUAUAUUUCUGAUCUCUUCUAUAUGCUUCUUGCUUAUUAACUUUAAAAUGUUUGUGUUUUAGAAGUAAACACUGCUUAUAUAGCAAUGAGUGUUUCUCAUACAUGGACACUUCUGUAAUUUCUCUUGAACAAGACACUUGGCAUAGUUGCUAUAGUUUGUUCUAAUUAGGUAAUGGCCAUGGGGAUGGGGCAAGGCAACUAAGAACUGGAGCCCUCUCUCACAGAAUGAACUAAAAAGCUAGAAGUCUAUCUUCAACCGUGAUUCAUACUUUCUCUUUGCUUGACUAUCCCUGAGAAUGUUCUGUACGGAUUCUAUCCAUUUUGUCCCAGAGUUGACUAACAGUUACACAUGACAGAAUGAAAAUGGAGGACAAGAAAUUGAAGGUAGAGUGAUAGGUCAGCCACUCAGGUUCUGAUGCUGGACAAUUCUAUGCCAUCACAUUGAUGUCAGCAUCUGCUGGAAAAUAUCGGAGAGGAAUGUAAGGGAGGAGCACUACUAAUAUGUAAGAAAUAGACUGGUUUUUAGGGCUAAACUGCAAUUUUUCUUUUCAAAUUCCCACUCUCUCCAUUCAGGUAUUAUCGACUGCCUAAAUAAAAAUAAUAUAUAUUAUGUGACUAUCAAGAACUAUGUGGUUGGAAUCAAGGACGUUCUAUUUAGGCAGGAAAGGAAUACUGUAUCCCAAGUCCUGCCAGUAAAUACUGUAUUUCAUUCCCUUUCUUUACUUUUAUGGACUCAACAGUCUUGUAUAAGCCAUGGGUUCUAAGUACCUGUUUUUCUUGACCGACCAUCAAUGAAUAAGAAUGAAAUUCUUAUUCUGAAGCAGAGGACAACCUUGACUUGUCACAGAAAGGACUUCAACAAUCGCUGGGUCCCAAAAACAUCAACAAUGAGAAAUAUCCAUUUUCUUAAUAACUGGAACCAUGUCUAAAACACAGCCAAUACUAAAACUGCAUAAACUAAGGCACCAUAAUCGAUGGUUCCCAAUUUUUCUUCUUUCCCAUCUCUUAAUUUGAGCAUGUUUUCCAACCCUUAAUGGUGAAUAAGCAUUCACUCAUGCCCAAUUACUCAAUUGACUUUUUGGUUCUAGGAAGUAUUGUAUUGUCACCAGGUGAUAUGCACCAUAAAUUCUGGCACUAUACUUGUUGGUGGUAGAUAUAUUACCCCUUCUUAAAUUAUUACUGGACAAUUUCUUGACCAUAAUUGUGUCUAAUCUGGGGUGGAGUCAACUAUACCCAGGCUGUAAGUACAAUGGACUAUUUUUCCGUUGGACAAGCUAGAUUUUCUGUUUACUUAUUGAGAUUCAACUCUGUGUAAUGUAGUUAGUUGCUUAAAGCUCAACAGUUGCAGAAGAUAGUUUUCAAAAUCUCUCUAGAAAACAUGAUGCUUGUCAUGGAAACGUUCUAAAACUUGUGCUAGGCUAGAAGUGGUACUUGUUAUUGAGUUUAACAUUUGGGUCUACAAAAUUCUAUAUAUGCUAAUACAAAUUUUUUAAAAGUUUUCAAAUAUUUAUUCUACACUUGAUCUUAGCCAAAAGGCCGAGAAGCGAUCAAAUAUUUAUUCUACUUUAUGUGUACUUGUGCUUUGCCUCCAUGUAUGUCUGUGUAAUAUGUACAUGCAGUGGCCCCUGAAGCCAGAAGAGGUCAU
This 2619-nucleotide small RNA is filed under the name Rattus norvegicus (Norway rat). RNAcentral describes it as "uncharacterized LOC102554507". Lineage: Eukaryota; Metazoa; Chordata; Mammalia; Rodentia; Muridae. The record is from RNAcentral.